This is a non-coding RNA of Zea mays, 139 nucleotides long. NCBI's taxonomy places the organism in Eukaryota, Viridiplantae, Streptophyta, Magnoliopsida, Poales, Poaceae. The record is from Rfam.
AUACUCAAUGAUGAAGAAAUUGUUAUAUAUAUUCUUAGUGGUUACGAUGCUGACUAUACCACACAAGUAUCGUCUUUAAAUGCAAUGGUAGAUUCAAUUUCAGUCAACGAACUAUAUGCUCAAACUCUCAGCUAUGAGA